GACGAACGCUGGCGGCGUGCUUAACACAUGCAAGUCGAACGGAAAGGCCCUGCUUUUGUGGUGUUCUCGAGUGGCGAACGGGUGAGUAACACGUGAGUAACCUGCCCUUGACUUUGGUAUAACUUCAGGAAACUGUGGCUAAUACCGGAUAGGAGCUCCUGCUGCAUGGUGGGGGUUGGAAAUUUUCGGCGGGUGGGGUUGGACUCGCGGCUUAUCAGCUUGUUGGUGGGGUAGUGGCUUACCAAGGCUUUGACGGGUAGCCGGCCUGAGAGGGUGACCGGCAAAAUUGGGACUGAGAUACGGCCAAGACUCCUACGGGAGGCAGCAGUGGGGAAUAUUGCACAAUGGGCGGAGGCCUGAUGCAGCAACGCCGCGUGCGGGAUGACGGCCUUCGGGUUGUAAACCGCUUUCGCAUGUGACGAAGCGUGAGUGACGGUAAUGGGUAAAGAAGCACCGGCUAACUACGUG
This 468-nucleotide ribosomal RNA is filed under the name uncultured bacterium. RNAcentral describes it as "partial 16S ribosomal RNA". It matches the Rfam family "Bacterial small subunit ribosomal RNA", at positions 28 to 507 of the family's 1533-position model. The record is from RNAcentral.